UACGAAGGGGGCUAGCGUUGCUCGGAAUUACUGGGCGUAAAGAGCUCGUAGGCGGCCUGUUGCGUCCGCUGUGAAAGCCCGGGGCUUAACCCCGGGUCGGCAGUGGAUACGGGCAGGCUAGAGGUAGGUAGGGGAGAAUGGAAUUCCCGGUGUAGCGGUGAAAUGCGCAGAUAUCGGGAGGAACACCGGUGGCGAAGGCGGCGAGCUGGCCUGUUACUGACGCUGAGGCGCGACAGCGUGGGGAGCAAACAGG
This 253-nucleotide ribosomal RNA is filed under the name uncultured bacterium. RNAcentral describes it as "partial 16S ribosomal RNA". It matches the Rfam family "Bacterial small subunit ribosomal RNA", at positions 524 to 776 of the family's 1533-position model. The record is from RNAcentral.